Molecule: long non-coding RNA, 453 nt
Filed under: Panax ginseng (ginseng)
Lineage: Eukaryota; Viridiplantae; Streptophyta; Magnoliopsida; Apiales; Araliaceae
Description: long non-coding RNA (PGIN_LNC015761)
Source: RNAcentral
GGCAUUCUUGUACAUGGCAAUUAAAUGUAAUAUUUAAUCACUAGAUGGUAAUUCUUAUUAUUUACCAAUUACUUUUCAUCCUUUGGUAAAUUAAAACAUUUAUACAUUAACAUCGUAAUUAAACCCGAUAAUUUUAAAUUAGGGUUUUCUAUAGAAAAUUAGGAUUUUCUAAUUAGGGUUUCUUAACGCCAUCAAUUAGGGUUUCUAAUUGACCAUUAGGGUUCUCUAAUUAUCUGUGUAUGUUCUAACACAGUCAUUACGAUCUCUAACUUCAACCGAUUAGGGUUGUAAUAAUUAGGGUUUGUCCUAAUUAUCGACAAACAACAGUAAUUAGGGUUUUCUUCUAAUUACCGACAUCUUAUACACAGUAACCUUCAUAUACACAGUAAACUUCAUAUACACAGUCACUACUCAGUCAUUUCUCAUAACUAAGUUUAAUAAUUAGGGUUUCAC